UUUCCGUAUGUGAACCUGCGGAAGGAUCAUUAGUGAACGCCCUCACGGGCUUAUAACUAUUCUAAACCUCUGUGAACCGUGACCUUCGGGGCUACUUUACAAACAUGGUGUAAUGAACGUCAUAAAUCAUAACAAAAAAAACUUUCAACAACGGAUCUAUUGGUUCUG
RNAcentral lists this unclassified non-coding RNA (168 nucleotides) under plant metagenome. Its description in RNAcentral is "partial contains small subunit ribosomal RNA, internal transcribed spacer 1, and 5.8S ribosomal RNA". The record is from RNAcentral.